GCUCAAGUGGUGGAAUCGGUAGACACGCCGGACUUAAAAUCCUGUGUCCAUUAUGGACGUGCGGGUUCAAGUCCCGCCUUGAGUA
RNAcentral lists this transfer RNA (85 nucleotides) under Gelidibacter maritimus. RNAcentral's name for it is "Gelidibacter sp. F6074 tRNA-Leu". It matches the Rfam family "tRNA". Rfam says of the family: Transfer RNA (tRNA) molecules are approximately 80 nucleotides in length. Their secondary structure includes four short double-helical elements and three loops (D, anti-codon, and T loops). Further hydrogen bonds mediate the characteristic L-shaped molecular structure. tRNAs have two regions of fundamental functional importance: the anti-codon, which is responsible for specific mRNA codon recognition, and the 3' end, to which the tRNAs corresponding amino acid is attached (by aminoacyl-tRNA synthetases). tRNAs cope with the degeneracy of the genetic code in two manners: having more than one tRNA (with a specific anti-codon) for a particular amino acid; and 'wobble' base-pairing, i.e. permitting non-standard base-pairing at the 3rd anti-codon position. Lineage: Bacteria; Pseudomonadati; Bacteroidota; Flavobacteriia; Flavobacteriales; Flavobacteriaceae. The record is from RNAcentral.